RNAcentral lists this ribosomal RNA (588 nucleotides) under Stenocranus montanus. RNAcentral describes it as "eukaryotic LSU rRNA". It matches the Rfam family "Eukaryotic large subunit ribosomal RNA", at positions 1367 to 1840 of the family's 3401-position model. The record is from RNAcentral. Lineage: Eukaryota; Metazoa; Arthropoda; Insecta; Hemiptera; Delphacidae.
UUAAGUCUUGACGAGUAAGAGGGUCGCGGCGGUGAGCGCAGAAGGGUCAGGGCGAGAGCCUGCCUGGAGCCGCCGUUGGUGCAGAUCUUGGUGGUAGUAGCAAAUACUCUAGCGAGGGCCUGGAGGACUGACGUGGAGAAGGGUUUCUUGUGAACAGCCGUUGCACAAGAGUCAGUCGACCCUAAGCCCUAGGAGAAAUCCGAUGCCGAUGGGUGGCUUAACAUGCAUAAAGUGACUUGUCACUGUGCAAAACACAGACCACAGACUGUGACUGUCGAUGCUUGCACGACUGAACAGCUCCUGUUGGGCAAAAGGGAAUCCGGUUCCUAUUCCGGAACCCGGCUGCGUAACCGCCACUUUGCGGGCACUCGCUCGCGAGCGCUCGUCGGGGUAACCCAAACUGGCCCGGAGACGCCGGCGGGAGGUCUGGAAAGAGUUUUCUUUUCUUUAUAAGCGUUCGAGUACCCUGGAAUCCUAUAGCAGGGAGAUAGGGUUUGGAACGCGAAGAGCACCGCAGUUGCGGCGGUGUCCGGACCUUCCCCCCGGACCUUGAAAAUCCGGGUGAGGGCCACGCGGAAGUCGCGCCGG